CACGUAGGGUGCGAGCGUUGUCCGGAAUUAUUGGGCGUAAAGAGCUCGUAGGCGGUGUGUCGCGUCGGCCGUGAAAACCUGCAGCUUAACUGUGGGCUUGCGGUCGAUACGGGCAUCACUGGAGUUCGGCAGGGGAGACUGGAAUUCCUGGUGUAGCGGUGAAAUGCGCAGAUAUCAGGAGGAACACCGGUGGCGAAGGCAGCUCGCUGGGACGGUAUUGACGCUGAGACGCGAAAGCGUGGGGAGCAAACAGG
RNAcentral lists this ribosomal RNA (254 nucleotides) under uncultured bacterium. RNAcentral describes it as "partial 16S ribosomal RNA". It matches the Rfam family "Bacterial small subunit ribosomal RNA", at positions 524 to 776 of the family's 1533-position model. The record is from RNAcentral.